GCCCUGAUUCUACACUGUGCAUGGAAAUACAUUGAUUUUGCAUCACCACACUUAAUCUGCAGUGCCCUGAAUUUCUGACUUAGAACUUUCUCCUCCACAAGGUUGUGGUGAUAGAAAUCCUGGAAAAGUUUUUUCUCUUCCUAUAUCCACUCUUGAUUCAUAGGUUCUGAGGCCAGCCUGUUUUGUGUAAUUUUUAACAUUUCUCUGGUUUGCUGGAU
Molecule: long non-coding RNA, 218 nt
Filed under: Capsicum annuum
Lineage: Eukaryota; Viridiplantae; Streptophyta; Magnoliopsida; Solanales; Solanaceae
Description: long non-coding RNA (CANN_LNC009772)
Source: RNAcentral